RNAcentral lists this transfer RNA (86 nucleotides) under archaeon. RNAcentral describes it as "tRNA-Leu". It matches the Rfam family "tRNA". From Rfam's summary of the family: Transfer RNA (tRNA) molecules are approximately 80 nucleotides in length. Their secondary structure includes four short double-helical elements and three loops (D, anti-codon, and T loops). The record is from RNAcentral.
GCGGGGGUAGCAAAGCCUGGCCAAAUGUGCUGGACUUAAGAUCCAGUGGUUUAGUACCUUCGAGGGUUCGAAUCCCUUCCCCCGCA